ACGAACGCUGGCGGCGUGCUUAACACAUGCAAGUCGAACGGAAAGGCCCCUUUGGGGGUCCUCGAGUGGCGAACGGGUGAGUAACACGUGAGUAACCUGCCCUUGACUUCGGGAUAACUUCAGGAAACUGGGGCUAAUACCGGAUAGGAAUCCUUGCUGCAUGGUGGGGGUUGGAAAGCUUCGGCGGUUUUGGAUGGACUCGCGGCUUAUCAGCUUGUUGGUGGGGUAGUGGCUUACCAAGGCUUUGACGGGUAGCCGGCCUGAGAGGGCGACCGGCCACAUUGGGACUGAGAUACGGCCCAGACUCCUACGGGAGGCAGCAGUGGGGAAGAUUGCACAAUGGGCGGAAGCCGGAUGCAGCAACGCCGCGUGCGGGAUGACGGCCUUCGGGUUGUAAACCGCUUUCAGCAGGGGCGAAGCUUGUGGUGACGGUACCUGCAGAAGAAGCACCGGCUAACUACGUG
Molecule: ribosomal RNA, 464 nt
Filed under: uncultured bacterium
Lineage: Bacteria
Description: partial 16S ribosomal RNA
Rfam family: Bacterial small subunit ribosomal RNA
Source: RNAcentral